Molecule: unclassified non-coding RNA, 288 nt
Filed under: Melitaea cinxia (Glanville fritillary)
Lineage: Eukaryota; Metazoa; Arthropoda; Insecta; Lepidoptera; Nymphalidae
Description: misc RNA ENSMCXG00005010940.1
Source: RNAcentral
GAUACAUCUAUGUCAGUCUGACUCUGUUUAUUUUUGUUCAAGAAAACCUUAAAUAAGUUUUUAAUCAUUAUCUAUUAAUUUUUAGUCUAUUCGAAGUGAUAAAACUUUUCAAACUAUUAUAUAACUGGUGAUAUUUCGAAGUCACUUGGCGGAUAGAAUGAUUGGUAUCUGGCACAACCAUGAGAACACAGUGGCUAUGAGCGGGGGCUCGCGACGUGGCCGAUAGUACAGCGCUAGCCCGCGUCGGCUCCCGUCACCCCAGGCACGGCCGCGCAACCCCGUAGCAAC